UACGUAGGGUGCAAGCGUUAUCCGGAAUUAUUGGGCGUAAAGAGCUCGUAGGCGGUUUGUCGCGUCUGCUGUGAAAACCCGAGGCUCAACCUCGGGCCUGCGGUGGGUACGGGCAGACUAGAGUGAUGUAGGGGAGACUGGAAUUCCUGGUGUAGCGGUGAAAUGCGCAGAUAUCAGGAGGAACACCGGUGGCGAAGGCGGGUCUCUGGGCCGAUACUGACACUGAGGAGCGAAAGCGUGGGGAGCGAACAGG
Molecule: ribosomal RNA, 253 nt
Filed under: uncultured bacterium
Lineage: Bacteria
Description: partial 16S ribosomal RNA
Rfam family: Bacterial small subunit ribosomal RNA
Source: RNAcentral